GAGUUUGAUCUUGGCUCAGAGCGAACGCUGGCGGCAGGCCUAACACAUGCAAGUCGAACGAACUCUUCGGAGUUAGUGGCGGACGGGUGAGUAACACGUGGGAACGUGCCUUUUGGUUCGGAAUAACUCAGGGAAACUCGUGCUAAUACCGAAUGUGCCCUUCGGGGAAAGAUUUAUCGCCAUUAGAGCGGCCCGCGUCUGAUUAGCUAGUUGGUGAGGUAAAGGCUCACCAAGGCGACGAUCAGUAGCUGGUCUGAGAGGAUGAUCAGCCACAUUGGGACUGAGACACGGCCCAAACUCCUACGGGAGGCAGCAGUGGGGAAUCUUGCGCAAUGGGCGAAAGCCUGACGCAGCCAUGCCGCGUGAAUGAUGAAGGUCUUAGGAUUGUAAAAUUCUUUCACCGGGGACGAUAAAUGACGGUACCCGGAGAAGAAGCCCCGGCUAACUUCGUGCCAGCAGCCGCCGCCGU
This 469-nucleotide ribosomal RNA is filed under the name uncultured microorganism. RNAcentral's name for it is "bacterial SSU rRNA". It matches the Rfam family "Bacterial small subunit ribosomal RNA", at positions 9 to 524 of the family's 1533-position model. The record is from RNAcentral.